Neofelis nebulosa (Clouded leopard) is the source of this 7197-nucleotide long non-coding RNA. RefSeq lists it as uncharacterized. The record is from RefSeq and is a predicted model, not a curated record. NCBI's taxonomy places the organism in Eukaryota, Metazoa, Chordata, Mammalia, Carnivora, Felidae. The transcript has 5 exons.
UGCUUUCCAGAGCGGCUGCACCAAUUUGCAUUCCCACCAACAGUGCAAGAGGGUUCCCGUCUCUCCACAUCCUCUCCAGCAUCUAUAGUCUCCUGAUUUGCUCAUUUUGGCCACUCUGACUGGCAUGAGGUGAUAUCUGAGUGUGGUUUUGAUGUAUUUCUCUUUUCAUUACAUUUUGAGAGGCAAAAUUUUAAACAAUUUUUCAUUCAGUCUAAGCAAUACCAAAUAUCUUGAUGAUAGAUUAACAAAAAAGUUUUAGAUAUUUUUUCCUGGAGUCCUUCUCCUUUAUUUAGAUGACAAGCCGUAGAAUUUUAAGGUUGAAGGGUACCUUAAUGUUUGACACAUACCUGUGUAGCUUUGGUAACUUGGUGGGUUUUUCUGCUCUGAAUGGACAUGCACAUGAUGGGCACUAAAUUAAUGGAGAAAUGUGAAAUGAAUGACUAAUAAGACCCUUUUCUGACCUCACAGAGAACUAAAAUGUUGAGUUGUCAGGUUAUUUGUGGCUACAAAAAUAAUACUGGCAAAUAGUCUGGGGCUAUCAAAUUCAGUUUCGUCUGUAAUUGAAUUAGAGACCCACAUCCUUUUCUCCAAGGAGAUUGGUGUACCAAACCCUGCCUUUGACAGUGUUUAGUAUUACACAAGAUUUCAGCCAAUGAACAAAGUUUCUAUUUAUGGAAAAUGUCAAGGGUGAUAAGCAUGAAAGAGUAGUAAUAUCAUUAUUUUCUAUCUAACUUACUUAAUAAUUGGAUAUGAACAGUGAGAAAAUUUCUGCCAAACAAAUACAAAUGUUCUGUCCUAAGAAAUCGAGUUAAAGUUUCAAAGGUUUGUGGAAUCCUAAAAAUCCAAAACCAAUGCAAAACGAACACUUCAGAUGGGGGCAAUGGUAGGUAGAAAGUCCCAUGGAAAUGUGCACAGGUUUUAUGUCAAAAAGAAAAGCAUUCUUGAACAGCUAGUCCUCCCCUGCAUGGGGCUGGUGUAUUUUUGAGAAUUUGCAUGUCGUCACUUCCAAAAGGAAUAUUUUGUGGUCUCUUCCAGUUGCUUCCAUCCCUGCAUGCUCACGUGCACGUGCGCACACUUGUGCCAGGAUUGUAGUUCCUGGACUCUGAAUUCCUCAGCGUCACAGAGUUUGCAUGUCCCAUCUACAACCCUGAGUCUGGCAUAGCCCAGUUGCUCACCAAAUGUGCAUGAUGGAAUGAAUAAACAAACCUGCCAAAGCAUACAGAAUAAAGGAUUCAGGUAGGUGAUUCUGUCAUUACCAUCUCCACUGUCAGAUGAGAAGACAGGCUGGUGAAAGUUGAGACUUGUUCAAGAUUGGACUGUUGGUGACAGAGCCAAGACAUGAACUCAGAUCUCUUGUUCCUAGAAUUAGGUUCUCUCAACAGAAGAAGAAAAUGAACUUAUGCAUCUUUAAACCUCUAUAUCCAUAUCAUAAAGGUGAAUUUAUUAGUAUUGGCAAGGUUAUUUUUCAUUCUAUAUUUAUUAAUACCUGUCUCAUUUCCCAAAUAAUUCAAAACAUCCGAUGGAUGUACAAUGAGAGAGAAAAAGAGAAAGAAAAGAGAGAGCGGGAAAGAUUAAAGAUCACACACUGGGAAAAUAUACUCUAGAAGUAUAACAAGUAACACUUAGUACUGUAUGCCAGAUAUUGUUCUAAGUGCUUUACAUAAAUUAACUCAUUUAAUACAAACAAUGACUCUGUGAGGUGGGUGCUUACUAUUAUCCCAACUUUACAAUCAUAGGAAAUGAAGCACAGAGAAUUCCAGUAACUUUCUCAGGUCACAGAGCUAAUAUGCAGUGAAGCCUGCAUGUAAACCUAAGUAGUUGUGGGCCUGAAUCUUAAUGCAUGUUACUAUCCUGCCUGCUAAAUAAAUCCUUGGGAUCUGUACUGCUCUAACUACUGUCUCCAGAUCCAGGCCCUGAGAAGCUAUGCCCCUGAAUCUACCCUCACACUUGGUUCCUUUUUGCAGACUGAUUAUGCUUCCACUUUGGUUGUUGUGUUCUUGAAGUCAUUCUUUGGUUUAUUUGGCAUAAUGAAAUCUAUAACGUCUCGUUUUUAAAUAACUAUCUAACUUCACUGAAACCCUUGUCAGCUUUAAUAGGAUUCAGGUCAGAAGAUUUUGAGCAAAAACAGUGCAAGCUACAGACAUGUGUGCAUUUUGCUAAAAGGACAGCCUCCUCUAUUUUGGAAGAUUUUUCUGUCUGAUGGAGUUGUCUGCUCAUAAGGAUCCUUGAGGAGGGAAUGUCGGAGAAAAGGAGGAUUGUUUAGCCUGGAGUUUCCAUCAUAUGGACGUGCGUAUUGAAGCCAUGUGUCCCGUCUUACUGUCUGAACAUCCCAACAAAGCUAAGAGCAGCCACUUCACCAUUAAUCAGCAAUCAGAUGAAGAGCUGACUUCGGAAGAGAACUUCUCUUGCUGCUGUGGCCUGCCCCACACUCUGGCACACUGAAGGACAGGAAACGCCAAGGAUUUUAAGAGCUUUGUGCCAAGAACAUGAGACAAAGACCAAAUAUAUUUUUUAUUAUACCACAACGAGGUAAAUAUAUAUUAAUAGAUUUUUCUGAUGUUAAACAAUUCUUACAUUCUUGUAUUUUGUAUACUCAAUUCACUUUGGCCUGCUAGUAUUUUAUUUAGGGUUUUCCCAUUGUGAGAACGGCCUAUAAUUUUCCUUGUUCAUAUUGUCAUUGUCUCAUUUUAUUAGCAAGUUUCAUUUAGGUUUAUUAAUUAGUUGGGGAUAAUUUCCUCUUUUUUUUAGUGUUAGGAAAAGUUUGUUUAAAAUUAGAACAUGUUCCUUGAAUGUUUCACUCACAUAUGGAAAUUUCUGAGCUGAUUUUACAUUUUGAGAAAUCUUUUAAUUACUGAUCCAGUUAUGAUAAUGAUUAUAUGAUCAUUCCGAUUUUUUAUUUCUUCUUAGUCUUUAGCUUUGGUAAGUUGCAUUUUACUAGAAAUUUGUCCACAUCAUUUAGGUUUUAAACAUGUGGACAUAACAUUAUUCAUAAUGUUUUAUCUUUUUUCUUUUUUUUAAAGUAUUUUCUUAAGUUUAUUUAUUUAUUGAGAGAGAGACAGCGCGUGCACACCAGUGGGGGAGGGGCAGAGAGAGAGGGAGAGAGAGAGAAUCCCAAGCAGUUUCUGCAAGUCAGUUCAGAACCCGGUGUGGGGCUCAAACUCAUAACUGUGAGAUCAUGACCUGAACCAAAGUCAGAUGCUUAACUGAUUGAGCCACCCAGGCAUCCCUUCAUAAUGUCUUUUCUUAUAUUUUAUUUUCUUUUAAGUGUUUGUUUAUUUAUUUAUUUUGAAAGAGAAAGACAGAGUGAGCAAACCUGAGUGGGAGAGGGACAGAGACAGAAGGAGAGAGAGAGAAUUCCAAGCAGGCUCUAAACUCAGCACAGAGCCUAUGAGAUCAUGAUCUGAGCUGAAAUCAAGAGUCAGAUGCUUAACCAACUGAGCCACCCAGGCACACCAGUUUUUUCUUCUAUUUUAAUAUUUGCUGCAAUUAUGCUCCUCUUUUCAAUCUUAAUGUAUGUUAUUUUUUCUCAAAGUACCAAAGCAGAAGUUAUAGCUUAUGAUUGAACGUAACUCUUGUUGUGAGGCCUGUGAGGCUUUAGAUACUUAAGGAUGGCACUAAUUUCUGUCAUUUACUCCACAGAUGGGUGUGAAACUUGUUUUGAAUGCCUUUUUUUAAAUGGAGGUAGGGGGACAUUCCAGAGGUUUCCACUGGGCUUCCCGGUAUGACUGCUCUAAGAUGGUCCAGAGACCAACGGCCCAGUGUGAGAGUUGUGCCACCAAACGUGCCAAUUCCAAUUAUACAGCCAGAGGGAAAAAUCAGCCAAUGUCAAAAGAACAAGAAAUAAGUGUGACGAUGAAAUUAGUUGACAAGACUUUAGAACCAUUGUUAUAAGUAUAUUCAAGGAUUAAAAGAAAAACAUGAACACAUUGAGAGAAUGGAGAAUCUCAAUGGAAAAAUGGAGUCUUUAAAAAAAGAGAAUCAAAUAGAAACUCUAGAUCCAAAAGAAUCAACAUACAAAACGAAAUAAUCACAAGAUAGGUUUAACACUGCAGAAACAAACAAAAAACAACUUGAAGACAGGACACAGGAUCCAUAAAAACUGAAGCACAGAGAGAAAGGGCUGAAAAAAAGAGUGGACAGAGCCUCAGAAAGCUGUAGACAGAUAAACAAUCAGUAUAUAUAUAAUUCAAUUAUCAGAGGGAAAGGUAUUGAUUGGAACAUAGAGUUAUUUCAAGCAAUAGUGGUCAAAUAUUUUCCAAAUUGUACGAAAAAUGUAACCCAAUGAAACUGGGGAAUGUGAAGAAAGAUAAACACAAAAAUCAUAUCAAAACAUACCUUUUCAUCAAAUGGCCAAAAAUCUAUAAAAAAGAGAAAAUAUUAAAAGCAGCUAGAGGAAAGGGACAUUACAUGCAGGUGAAAAUGCUGGCUUCUCACUAACAAUGCAAGACAGUAGCAGAGGACAUUUUUGGCCCGUCACUGGGACUACUUCAAGCCAUGUGCACUAAUUCAGAAAUUCUGCAUGUUGUUCUAAUACAGAGAGGCUCUGUACGGUGCUACUUCUACUCAGCCCCUCAUCUCCAAGUUUCUGUAUUAAAUAAAACCAAAUAGUAAUCCAGGAUCAUACAUUAUAAAAAUUACGCAUCAGGUAGAAGAUGAUCUUGGAUUUGUUUUAAUUCAUCAUCAAUGUGCUGUAUGAGAGUAUGCAUGCCACUUAAUGAUAUCUAAAACUACCCUUAUCUAAUAAGCUGAUAUGUUUUUAGCAAAGAAAUGUUAGUACAAAAAAAAAUGGUUCUGUUAAAUGGAAAAUCAGUAGUAUAAACAAUUCACUUCAAAAAAAUUGUAAUAUUUAUUUAUGUAUUUUUGAGAGAGAGAGAGAGAGAGAGAGCAUGUGUCGGGGAGGGGCAGAAAGAGAGGAAAGAGAAUCCCAGGCAGGUUCCUCACUGUCAGCACAGAGCCGGAUGUGGGGUUUCAAUUCACAAAACCGUGAGAUCAUUGCCUGAGUGGAGAUCAAGAGUCUAGGCUUAACCAACAGAGUCACCCAGGUGCCCCUACAAUAACUCACUUUCAAGCAUCCUGAGAGAAGGAUAUCAAGCAUGCAGAUAAGAAUACCAAGAAGAAAACAAUAAUGCAACUUUAGAAAGUAGUGCAGGAAAUGAGUUUAUCAGGCUCCAGAAGUUAAAGCUCAAGAAAAUCUUAGAAAUAUUGCUUCAAGAUGAAGAGGUUUAUAUCACGAUUAUUAAAUAUUUUAUUGUAAGAGAUUAUUUAAUGGCAGGAAAAAUGCUUGUGAUAUAUGAUUAAAUACUAAAAGAGAAUAGUCACAUAAUAAUAAUGGGUAAAGUAUCUUCCAGUGAUAAAUGGCUGGACACAUAGAUAGAUGGAUGGAUGGAUGGAUAGAUAGAUAGAUAGAUAGAAUGAUAGAAGAAGGGAUACCAAAAUAUUGGCAAUGAUAGAGUAGUAGGCUUAAAGAUGUUUUAAAUUUUCUUCCUUGUGCUUUUUUACAUGACAUUAUACAUUUUCUACAAUAAAUAUGUCAUUUAAAAAAAUAAUAGAUUUGAUUUUUUGGAGUAGUUUUAAGUUUACAGACAAAUUGAGUGGGAAGUAGAAAGUUCCUGUGUUCCUCCUGAUCUCCCCAUCCGAUUUCCCCUAUUAUUAGUAUUAGUAUUAGUAUUAGUACAGCACAUUUGUUACAGUGCUGAGCAAAUAUUGAUAUGAUAUGAACUAAAGUUCAUAGUUUCACUCUUUUCACAAAUGUAUUAUGAUCUACACGACCAGUACAGUAUAGUUUGUUAUUUUUGCAAUUAAAGAUAAAAUUUUAAAAACAAAAAUAGUGAUUACUAUAUAAACUACAGUGAUAAAUAUUUCAGACAAUGUGAUGAGCUGUUUUUUAGCUUCACUGAAAAUAACUCUAAGAAUUAAUUUCUAUUUAUUGCUUCUACUAAUAACACCAAUGGCUUGACCCAGAAAAAUAUCAUCUUUAUCUAUUAAUUUAUGUAUGUAUCCUUUGGGUCUAAGUAAGCAAUUAAUUUCACCGAGGUCAUUCUUUUUCAAAAUAUGGAAAAACUGGAAGAUUUUUACAUCUGUUCAAUUACAUGUCUAAAAAUGCCAGGUAUAUUUGGGGGACACCAUGAGUGGGAGGGCCAGGGAAGACUUUGUAGAGAAAGUGAUAGUUGAAUUGGGACCUAAAGAAUAAGUAAGUAGAAAUGGAAACAAUAUAUGCAAGGUAAAGAAAGGAGAAUGUCAUUCAUGCAAACCAUAAUAGUUAAUAAAUUGGAAGAUUAUAUUAUGUGAAUUCUUAUUUUAAAGAAGAAUAAAACAUUGUUGGAUAUUUGAGCAAACUUAUUGAUGGAGUGCUUUUGAAUUGAGUUGGGACAAAGUGAGAUAAAGAUACAGAGGAAGAGUAGACUUAAUCACACGUAGAGGAUCACAAUCUGAGUAGAGGUUCUAUGUUGCACAAUAUAGAGACUCUGCAAAGGGAAAAGAGUUAAGGAAGGCAAGUCUGGAUUGGUAAGGAAGAAGGAAUUGAUGGAUAGUCUUCUGAAAUAGUUCGAUGACACCAGACGAAGAGGGAAUCAUUCUGGAUUAUUUUAGUAUUUUUUGCCUUUAGGUGUGCAUUUUGGACAGACUAAGAAACAACCAACCAAGCAAACAGACAAACAAACAACAAUUAAAGACCCAUGCAAUUACCCAAGUGUUCAGAGCCUGGAUUUAAAAAGUGGCAGUAGGGCUAGAAGGAAGGGAUGAUUGUAAGACAUUUCUAUAAAAAAGCAAUAACAUAAGAUAAACUUGGACUUGGAGAACAAGGAGAAAACCAAGGUGAACUCAAGAUACUGAUCUUGGAAGAUUGGCAAGGCUGCAGGUGAAAUUGAAAAAUUGGGGAAGAGAAGGUCAGUUUUGGACUGCUGGUUUGGGACAGUAGGGUAGUUAAAUGGAAAAGUCAUGUAGAUACUUGGGCACAAGAUAGAAGUAUUCGAGUGAGAGAGAACAUAGCAGGGAACAAAGACUCAGGACUCAUAAGCAGCAAGGUUGUAUAUGAAGCUUUAAAAGUAGAUUAGCCAUUGGCAUGAGAACUGAGGGGAGAGAACACAAGUAAAGCUUUAAGGAAUAUCUACAAAUGGACAGAAAAGGAAAAAGAGUGAGAGAAGUGUGAGAGAACUAGAAGAAUGGGGCCAGGCAGUUGUGCAAGACUGGGAAGGAGAU